Molecule: ribosomal RNA, 492 nt
Filed under: uncultured bacterium
Lineage: Bacteria
Description: partial 16S ribosomal RNA
Rfam family: Bacterial small subunit ribosomal RNA
Source: RNAcentral
AGUGAACGCUGGCGGUAGGCCUAACACAUGCAAGUCGAACGGCAGCACAGUAAGAGCUUGCUCUUACGGGUGGCGAGUGGCGGACGGGUGAGGAAUACAUCGGAAUCUACUUUUUCGUGGGGGAUAACGUAGGGAAACUUACACUAAUACCGCAUACGACCUACGGGUGAAAGCAGGGGAUCUUCGGACCUUGCGCGAUUGAAUGAGCCGAUGUCGGAUUAGCUAGUUGGCGGGGUAAAGGCCCACCAAGGCGACGAUCCGUAGCUGGUCUGAGAGGAUGAUCAGCCACACUGGAACUGAGACACGGUCCAGACUCCUACGGGAGGCAGAAGUGGGGAAUAUUGGACAAAGGGCGCAAGCCUGAUCCAGCCAUACCGCGUGGGUGAAGAAGGCCUUCGGGUUGUAAAGCCCUUUUGUUGGGAAAGAAAAGCAGCAGGUUAAUACCCCGCUGUUCUGACGGUACCCAAAGAAUAAGCACCGGCUAACUUCGUG